Long non-coding RNA from Myxocyprinus asiaticus (Chinese sucker), 9358 nucleotides. RefSeq lists it as uncharacterized. The record is from RefSeq and is a predicted model, not a curated record. The transcript has 4 exons. NCBI's taxonomy places the organism in Eukaryota, Metazoa, Chordata, Actinopteri, Cypriniformes, Catostomidae.
CGCGGGUUCUUUGAUGCUGUGCAGAGCGAGCGCGAGAAUGGAAGGCGAGCCGCAGCUACCGUAUGUUCCUCCUGAACAACCAGUAAAAGGAAACAAGAAAAGAAAGACCGUGUUAGAAACUUCUACAACGAAAAAACGUCUGGAUCAACAGCGUUCUAAAAGCAGAAUUAACAUUGGCGUUGCUUUUCCACGCUGGAGGCAACUGCGGGACUCAAAGGGUCUGAAAAAUGACGCCAUGGUUGCUGUUCUUCUUUUGGACGGUUACGAAAACACUGCAACAUCCACACCUUUGGUGCAUGGAUUCAUAAGGCCACCACCACCAACUGCUUCGACUAUUUCAUCAGUCUCUCCCAAAACAUUCACCUAUCAGCCCAAAUUGUGUUGUGAGACAGCGUGCCAGACAGACAAAGCUUUCAGAAAAGAUGCUGCUUGUCAAACAGAUGUUGAAUCUCCCAUCAAGAAAGAGACCGUUAAAGAAGAAUACAAGCCAGUAGCGCUGAUGGACACAUUCAAUAUCGUCACAAUAAAAGUGGAAGAGCAGUGAGAGCAAGCGCAGAGGAGAAGCCCUACAUGUGGCUAGCGGAGCUUCUGUUUGACUGCGUGUUGGAUGAGUCCCAGCGGUUUCAGGAGCACACAGUUUAAAAGACUUGAGAAGUGGGAGACUGUGGCACUGCACAUGCUUCAAACCCAUGAACACCAUCAAAUGAAAAAAUGACAGCAACAACAAAAAAACCCUCUCUUUUUAUGCAUGUCUGCACUCAAAGUUUUAAUUGAAUAAUAGGGCUGUUAUUUGUGUUUGACCAGAAAUAUUGCAGCUGAUGUUUUGCUCUGUUGAUUAGAAACUUGUAAACACAUUGCUAUGGUAGUUUUUUUGUAAAAUGACUAGGCCUAUCAUGAAUUGGUUCAUGGACCUAUUGCGUACUAGCAUCUUUGAUGUAUGUUAUGAUGUCGUAUGUCAUGUACAGUAUGUGGACAUUCCAUCACACCGCUUCUAAUUAAGGGUUUUGGCUUUGCCAGUAAUUUCUGUGAAGAUGAAUCUUAAUGCUCCAGCAUGCAGGGAUAUUUUAGAGUUGUGUGCAUUCAAUUGUAUCGCAUCAGUUUAGUGAGGGCCAUUUCCUGUUCCAGUAUGACAUGUGCACGAUUGCUACGUUCACACCGCAGCGGAAUGUGGCCCAAAUGUGAUUUGUUUUUGUUUUUUUUCACUCCAAUCUGUGAUUGGAUGACCAUGUGAACAGCCAGAAUCUGACAUUUUCAAAUCUGAUCUGGGCCACUUUCAUAUGUGGAAAUAAAUCAGAUACUUAUUUGAUUUUUCCAUUGUGCCCUCAGUGUGAACAGCCAGGUCAGAUUUAAUGUGAUUUUACAUCAAACUCAACAUUCGUCAUUUGUGCACUUGAUUUCCAGCAUGUAUGUGCGUGUUAUGGUUUCUCCAUCACUUGCUGACAUAUUAUUAGAUAAGCAUUAAAUGUCCUAUCAGGAAAAAAAAAAGCGUACAUUUUAAAAUGCAUUUUAAUAAAUUAUUCAUAUAAUAAUAUUGUGCCAGAGUUUGAUACGCAUGCUCAGAGUGUAAUACACUUGCGGGUCAGUUAAUGAGCGUCGGCUGUUCAAACCGGUAUCUGAUAUGAGCGACAUUUAAAAUGUCGUGAACAACCUAACAAAAAAUCAGAUUUGGGUCACAUUCAGCUGCGGUGUGAACAUAGCCACACAAAGCUCAGACCCGAAUCACAAUUAGGGAUUGGGGUGUUUUCAGAGCUGGAUUCAUUUAUGGUUAUGAGCUUUCCAUCCCUAUGCAUUAAUGAUCAGUAGUCCCACUGCUUUUAAUAUAAGCAUCAAACAGUGCUCUGAUAUUCACUUUCGUGAAUUUCCCCAACAUUCACCCCUAAGCAUCCUGAUCUGUCGUUUGCAGAGUUGUUGAAUACAAUUCUCAACCUUUCACACCUUUGUCUCAAGGCAGAUAGACUGCGAGUAUACCAACUGUCUGAUGCAUAUGGGCCAUGUCCAAAUAUGCAUACUUCACUACUAUAAUGCCAUUGGUGUAGUGUGUUUGAAAAUAAAAGUGAAGGUGAGAAAUACCCAGAUGACCAUCUACUUCUGGUGAUAUUCUGAAAUGUGCAUACACUGGUCUCUGUAUUAUCCCAUAAUGCCUCGGGAGCUGAGGAGACUAUGUUCAAAACGCUGAAUUAAAAAAAAUGAUGGCUCUUUUCAAUUGUAAGUGCUAUAUACUGUAAACCAAGAGAGUUGUUCCUUGUGCUUGAAUCAGAAUCAGAAUGAGCUUUAUUGCCAAGUAUGCUUACACAUACAAGGAAUUUGUCUUGGUGAUAGGAACUUCCAGUGUACAACAAUACAAAAACAGCAGCAAGACGUAGAUAAAAAUAAAAAAUAAUUAUGCACAUAUUUAUAUGGUGCUUGUUUAACAACCGGAGUAGAUCGUUUUCAUGGUUGGCGUUAUGUCAUAUAUUUGGGUGACAGGUCAUCACACAAAUUCCGAGAUUAAGUAUAUUCGGGAAUACAUUCAUGCUACUCAACUGAAUACCUGAAGAACGUACAGUUUUACCAGCCGAGAAGUGCGUUUUUCAUCAAAUACUGCACAUACUCUGACAGUACACAAUUUCAGACGUGGUCACUGUGUGUCCUGUCGUAUGUGAGAUUUUUACUCUAAUGAAAUUGACCUGUUUGGAUGCAGUGGGUCCAGUGUUGUAGCAAAUGUCAUCAUCACUUUAGCUGAGCCAUUAUACGCCACAUUUACCUUUACGAUGUCCGAAAUCGACACCUAUCCAUCUAUAGUGCACUAUUUUGAGUGUCUGCCAUUUUGUUACAGUGUCUGAAUUCAUCCCCUACAUCUUGUUCUCUACUUUUGUUCACUCAUUCUUACCCACAAUGCAAUCUGAUUUUGAGUGCACAUUCGACAUAGGCUGUGUCUUGUUUGGAAGGCUGCAUGCUAGGUAGGACACGUCCUUUGAAGGCUUCAGUAUACCGAGUGUCCUCCUUUAAACAAGUAUCAUAACAGACGGCCUUCGUAGGACAAACGGAAACGGAACGUAACAUGGUUGCUAUGACAGCACGCCACUCUUUAACAAGCGCGAGCGCUUUGAGUGAGAAGAGAACCCUCUGGAAGGGAGUGUAUGUGGUACAUUUUAGGAGUGUUAUAAUGAUGUAAAGAGAAAAGAAAACAGAUUUUACAGGUGUACUUUUAGUCUAAAACUUUAUUUUAAUUAUAUAUUAAUAUCAUUAUACAUAUAUACUCUGCACCCAUCUACUGAAGUACUUCAACUUGGGAAGUAACAUUCCUUGUGUUUGAACAUCAUAUUUACAGGCAAAUUGGCAUCAUGUUUUUUUUAGACGUUUCCGUUGAAGCAAAGAGUUGUGGGUUGUGAGUGACCACAAAUGAUACACCUCAUGCAUCCUCCGAAUUCACGUGAAAGAAGGUGGCAUACAACUCAUGUCCUACUCGCUUUUCUGAAACGAGAAAGCCUCAGUGACAAAUGCAACCUCCACAGGACGCAUCCUUCCAAACGAGACAGCCAUUCACUCGACGACGGUUAAUUGCCCACAAUCCACCGCGGGGAAAACGUACGAGCUGGGAGUUUACUGCUUCCUUCACUCCUGCAAUGUUUAUUUCAUGCUGAAUGUAUUAAAUUACUUUUUGACAAAUUAUUACUUGAUUAAAAUAACAUAUAGAGAGGCAAAACAUACAGAUACAUUUUAAAAUAUACUCUAUUUAUUUUAUACACAAUUUUGUCAUUAAGUUGAAUAAUUCUUUAUUUACUAAAUAAUUGACUGAGGUGAUAUUAUUUUAACUUUGGAGACUGAACACAGUGGAAAUGAUGAUUCUGUGGAUGAUUUAAAUAUUCGGUUUUAACAUGUAGGUUAUGAUAAUGUGGUCGGAUGAGAAACGCUACCCAGCUUGUAUUGGAGUUUAAAGUAUAACAAAGAAAUACAAUAAUGUACAUUUGAUAAAAUGUUUACUCUUUAUAUUAAUAUAUAUAUUAAAAAUGACAAAAAGCAUUUAUUGUAUUCAUAAAUUAUUUAAUAAAAUAAGUAUUUUAAAAGUUAUAUGUGAUGUUUCUGCGACAGCCCCAGAGCUCCGACGCUUUGUGUAUAUGUCAGUGUCCGAAUUCACUCACUCAUUUUGUUCACUCACUGCUGAGAUAUAGUGCAUUCACUGCCAUUCACUAUAUAGGAAUGAGUUAAUGAUUUCGGAUACAGCAGAGGUCUACUGAUUUGUUGCACUCAGUAUUUUUCUUAUGUCAUCUUGUACUUACACUGACAACUAGUGGCAAGGAUGCAGCAUUAUUCAAAUGCAAUCAUUUUCAGUUACUGAUGCCAUUAUAGAAAUUCACUUCACCAUCAGCCAUAAUUAAAUACAUUUAUGCAUUAAAGUGUCCAAUAACAGGGCGGUUACUGAGAAUAAGCGAGUAGUAUUUGGCUAGUCAUGCAUGUAACACUGAUUUGAUAGGUGUGGGUGAGAAACAGAUCAAUAUUUAAGUAAUUUUUCACAAUCAAUCUUUACUUACACUUUCACAUUCAGCCGCCAACUGAUUGGUGCUGGUCAAAGGUGGAGAUUAAUAGUUAAAAAAAAUAUUGUCUUAAAUAUUGAUCUGUUUCUCACCCACACCUGAAGACAUGGAUUAAACCACGGGAGUCAUAUAGGUUACUUUUACGCUGCCUUUAUGUGCUUUUUGGAGCUUCAGAGUUCUGGUCACCAUUCACUCACAUUGUAUGGACCUUCAGAGCUGAAAUAUUCUUCUAAAAAUCUUCAUUUGUGUGAAUUUUAAUUUUUGGGUCAGCUAUCCCCAAACUAGAUAAUCUUUUAUUAACAAAUAAGAAAAGUAUUCAUUUUAGCUUACCUGUACAAAGUGGCAGUUUAUUACAAAAUCAUGCAGGAUAAGAGUCAUGAACCAAACCAACUAUCUCCAAUGUGAAUCACAUUACAAACUUUAAAGCAAAGGCGUAUUUAAAAACAAACGACAAAACAAGUCAUUUUUAUUUGUAUAGCACUUUUCACAACACACAUCGUUUCAAAGCAGCUUUACGGAAAAUCAUGUAUUAACAGAAAAUGAAACUGUAAUAUCUAUAAAGUCUUAGUCAUCAUUGUGUAGUUUGAUUAAAUAUGAUUGUAAACUGUGUAUAAAAAUAAAUAAAUAAAAACUCCAUAAGAUGUUGAUUAAUGGAGAAAAAUAACCUUGAGAGAAACCAGACUCACUGUGGGGGCCAGUUCCCCUCUGACUAACAUCAUGAAUAUAAUGCCAAUAUUACUUAUGUAUAGUGCAAGUCAUGGGGUUUAAAAUUAUUAAACUAAGUAAGUGUUAAGGGUCAGUGUUUAAAACAAAGAUUUUGUAUGAACUGUAAGAUUAAUGACUAAUGUCUUUGAAGUCCAUCAUGGAUUAACUUCAGAAGUUCACAUUGAUGCAAUUGUCCUUUGUUAGUUGGCUGAUGAAGGGUUUUGUUGGCAAUUAAUUGAUAGUCUAUGUAUUCCAUUUCAAGAGUGUAGUCCAUCAUUAGACCGAGGUGAUGCAGGCAGAGAUCAGUUAGGUGCAUCUCAGUUCAACCUGGCCGGUAAUUUUGGUGAGGUCUAUCCUAAGUCCAAGGUUCAGGCAAUGGCAUAUGACGUAUCCCAUGUCUUAUGGUUGGAGUUGGCACCAGUUCAUCCUCUGUAGUCCAUCAUAAUAGACUGAAGUGAUGUUUGGCUGGCACCGGUUGCUAUUAGUCAUCAUCACACAGCGACAUGUAGCAGUGGAGUCCAACACGAAGCAGGAAUGGAGCUGGAUCCAGCCGGUUCUGGUGACCUCAGGAUAGGAGUCACGAGGAUGAGACAGGGAAACAAAUAAAAUAAUAUUAGCAUAGAUGCCAUUCAAUUUAUUGCAGAGUUAUAGAUCAUGAUCACUGUUUCUGGUUCCGGCAGACCUAACUGAAGCAGCCUAAUUGUGAGUUGAUGGAUAAAUUAGGUGUAUGCCUGGCUAAGUAGAUGAGUCUUUAGUCUAGACUUAAACUGAUUGAGUGUUUCUGCAUCUUGAACAGUGUUAGGGAGACUAUUCCAUAGUUUAGGAGCCAAAUAUGAAAAGGAUCUACCUCCUUUUGUGGAUUUUGAUAUUCUAGAAACUAUUAACAGGCCAGAAUUUUGCGAUAGUCAUGAAUGUGAUGGAAUAUAGCGUGGUAGAAGGUUACUUAAGUACUGUGGAGCUAGAACAUUCAAAGCUUUGUACGUAGUUAACAGAAUUGUAAAAUUAAUACGAAAUUUAUCAGGUAGCCAAUGUAAUGACGAUAAAAUGGGGCUAAUAUGAUCAUAUUUCUUGGUUCUCGUCAGCACUCUGGCUGCUGAAUUUUGAACCAAUUGAAGUUUAUUUAUUGAUCUUGCUGGACAUCCUCCCAGUAAAGCAUUACAAUAAUCUAGUCUUGAGGUCAUGAACGCAUGAAUUAGUUUUUCAGCAUCAGCCACAGAGAGCAUGUGUUGUAACUUAGCAAUAUUUCUGAGGUGGAAGAAUGCUGUUCUACAAACAUUGGAAAUUUGAAAAUAUGGAAAUAUGUUCUUCACUGUAGAAGACGACGUAACAGUACAUCCAUCGAGAGUCUAAUUAUAUUUUAACAGAUUAUUUUUUAGAGGUUUUUGGUCCAAUAAUUAGUGCCUCUGUUUUGUCAGAAUUGAGUAGAAGGAAAUUUCAGGCCAUCCAGUCUUUGAUUUCAUUGAUACACUCUGCUAAUUUGGAGAAUUGUGAAAUUUCGCCAGGUUUAGAAGAAAUAUAAAGUUGGGUAUCAUUGGCAUAACAGUGGAAACUUAUUCCACGAUUCCUGAUAAUAUCUCCCAGGGGAAGCAUAUAUAAGGAGAAAAGCAGAGGCCCUAAAACUGAUCCCUGUGGCACUCCAUACUUUUGUUUGGUUUGACAAUUCCUCCUUUACAUAGACAAAGUGGUAGCAGUCUGCUAAAUAGGACCUAAACCAUGCUAAUGCAAGUCCACUAAUGCCAACAUAAUUAUCCAGCCUAUUCAAGAGGAUGUCGUGAUCAGUCGUGUCGAAGGCAGCACUAAGAUAUAAAAGCACUAGAAGUGAAAUGCAGCCGCAAUCAGAUGAUAAGAGCAAGUAAUUUGUAACUCUGAUAAGUACAGUCUCUGUACUGUGAUGAGGCCUAAAUCCUGACUGAAAUUGUUAAUAUAUACUAUUUCUCUGUAGAAAUGAACAUAUUUGGGAGGAUCCUACCUUUUCUAGUAUUUUCGACAUAAACGGGAGAUUUGAAAUCGGUCUGUAAUUAGCCAGUUCUCUAGGAUCAAGCUGUGGCUUCUUAAUAAGUGGUUUGAUAACUGCCAUUUUAAAGUUUCUUGGGACAUGUCCUAAGGAUAGCGAGGAGUUAAUAAUAUUAAGAAGAGGUUCUGAGAUUACAGGGAAUACCUCUUUUAAGAGCUUGGUUGGUAUUGGAGCUAACAAACAUGUUGUGGCUUUUGAUGUUUCGAUAAGUUUUGUUAGCUCUUCAUGACCUAUGACAGCGAAGGAUUGAAGUUGCACAUGAGGAAAAUUAUGAGACACUGUUUUCUGAGGUACUGUGACAGAUGAUUGCAUAAUUCCAAUAUUAUUUCUGAUUAUUUCAAUUUUAUCAGUAAAGGUAUUCAUGAAGUAAUUACUAUUGUGCUGUGACGGAAUAUCUGGUUCAGUUGAUGCUUUAUUCCUAACCAAUUUAGCCACAGUACUGAAUAAACACCUAGGAUUGAUGUGAUUAUUUUCUAUAAGUUUGCUAAAAUAUGCUGACCUGGCAGCUUUUAGUGCCUAUCUGGAGCUACAGACACUAACAUUCCAUGCACCGCAAAAUACCUCUAAUUUUGUAUUCUUCCACUUGUGCUCCAUUUUCUGAGCUACUCUCUUGAGAGCAUGAGUGUGAUCAUUGUACCAUGGUGCAGGGCUUUUUUCUUUAAUUUUUUUUAACCGAAGGGUGGCAACACUAUAAAGAGUGCUAGAGAAGACUGUAUUUAUAUUUUCUGUUAUUACAUCAAGUUCUUCUUUUACUGAGUGUAUGAGAUAGAUCUGGAAGAUUAUUAGUGAAACUAUAUUUAGCUCUGUGGUAUAAUUUCUAUAGUAUUUUGUCUGACUGCAAGAGAUUUGAGAAUAUCAAUAAAUGCUAAUCCCAAUGUGUCUUUUUCAUUAUUUAUGUGAAUGUUGAAGUCACCAACAAUUAAAGCUCUAUCUACAGUAACUACUAGAUCUGAUAGAAAAUUUACAAAUUCACCAAGGAAACCAGAUUAAGGCCCGGGUGAUCUAUAUACUGUUGCAAGGGCAAAAGAUGAAAGAGAUUUUUUAUUUAUAUCUGACAGUGUCACAUUAAGCAUAAUUAGUUCAAAAGACUUAAACUUAUAUCCUGUCUUCUGAGUAACACCAAAAAUGUCACUGUAAAUUGUAGCAACACCUCCUCCUUGACCCUUCAGAUGAGGCUCAUGUUUAUAACAAUAACCCUGGGGGAGUAGAUUCAUUUAAACUAAUAUAUUCAUCCGGUUUAAGACAUGUUUCAGUUAAACAGAGCACAUCCAAACUAUGAUCUGUAAUAAUUUCAUUUACAAUUACUGAUUUGGUUGAAAUAUCUAAUUGUCUAAAAUCUAAUGUUUAUUAGCCCUACAUUUAUAUGAUGUUUAUCUUCAAUUUAUCUUCAACAUUCGGAUUAACCAGUUUGUUUGCUUCCUGACCUGUGCACCAUUUAGCCAAAUACUAUCACUAUUAAGACUAUAAGCCAAAUGACUAGAGAGGAGAGCGGCACCUUCCCUGGAGGGAUGGAGUCCGUCUCUCUUUAGCGGGUCAGGUCUACCCCAAAAACUCUUCCAAUUGUCUAUAAAUCCUAUGCUAUUCUCCGGACACCACUCAGACAUCCAGCCAUUCAGUGACACCAAUCUACUAUAUACCAUGUCACCACAAUGAGCAGGGAGGGGGCCAGAGCAUAUUACAGUGUCUGACAUCGUUUUGCAAGAACACACACCUCUUUAACAUUAUCUUUAUUGAUCUCCGUCUGGCGAAGCUGGACAUCAUUAGUGCCGACAUGAAUAAUAAUUUUAGAAAAUCUACAUUUAGCAUUAGCCAGCACUUGUAAAUUUGAUCUGAUGUCAUACGCCCAAGCCCCUGAAAUGCAUUUAACAAUAGUGGCUGAAGUCUCUAUUUCCACAUUCCUUACAAUAGAAUCACCUAUUACUAAGGCUCUUUCAACAUGAUUCUCAGUGGGUGUAUCACUGAGUGGGGAUAAUCGAUUGGAAACCCUAACAGGAACGGGAGAGUGGUGUCGCUUUGCUGAGUAUGCCGCCGAGACGUCACCCAAACGCCCUGCUCCGGUGCUGACGGAAGAAGCUAUAGUAAACAUGUGGCAUGCAAUGCAGGAAGAAAUAACAUGAGUGGAUGC